UACGUAGGGUGCGAGCGUUGUCCGGAUUUAUUGGGCGUAAAGAGCUCGUAGGCGGCUCGUCGCGUCGACCGUGAAAACCCGCGGCUUAACCGCGGGCUUGCGGUUGAUACGGGCGGGCUAGAGUGCAGAAGGGGCAACUGGAAUUCUCGGUGUAGCGGUGAAAUGCGUAGAUAUCGAGAGGAACACCUGCGGCGAAGGCGGGUUGCUGGGCUGACACUGACGCUGAGGCGCGAAAGCUAGGGGAGCGAACGGG
This 253-nucleotide ribosomal RNA is filed under the name uncultured bacterium. RNAcentral's name for it is "partial 16S ribosomal RNA". It matches the Rfam family "Bacterial small subunit ribosomal RNA", at positions 524 to 776 of the family's 1533-position model. The record is from RNAcentral.